This 495-nucleotide ribosomal RNA is filed under the name uncultured bacterium. RNAcentral describes it as "partial 16S ribosomal RNA". It matches the Rfam family "Bacterial small subunit ribosomal RNA", at positions 28 to 507 of the family's 1533-position model. The record is from RNAcentral.
GAUGAACGCUGGCGGCGUGCCUAAUACAUGCAAGUAGAACGCUGAAGGAGGAGCUUGGUCUUCUGGAUGAGUUGCGAACGGGUGAGUAACGCGUAGGUAACCUGCCUGGUAGCGGGGGAUAACUAUUGGAAACGAUAGCUAAUACCGCAUGACAACAGUUAUUGCAUGAUAACUGUUUAAAAGGGGCAACUGCUCCACUACCAGAUGGACCUGCGUUGUAUUAGCUAGUUGGUGAGGUAACGGCACACCAAGGCGACGAUACAUAGCCGACCUGAGAGGGUGAUCGGCCACACUGGGACUGAGACACGGCCCAGACUCCUACGGGAGGCAGCAGUAGGGAAUCUUCGGCAAUGGACGGAAGUCUGACCGAGCAACGCCGCGUGAGUGAAGAAGGUUUUCGGAUCGUAAAGCUCUGUUGUAAGAGAAGAACGAGUGUGAGAGUGGAAAGUUCACACUGUGACGGUAUCUUACCAGAAAGGGACGGCUAACUACGUG